Aegilops tauschii subsp. strangulata is the source of this 2649-nucleotide non-coding RNA. Lineage: Eukaryota; Viridiplantae; Streptophyta; Magnoliopsida; Poales; Poaceae. The record is from RefSeq and is a predicted model, not a curated record.
UUUGCAGUAAUUUCAGUGUUUCAUAGAUUAAGAUUACAGAUGUAUGUUCAUGAAUGAUGAGUAGUUUCAGUUAUUUCCCAACUUGAAAGAAACUGGAAUAGGUAGUAGUAGGACAAUGAGUCAUCCUGCACUAGUACAAGUACAUGAACAAGUAGUAUUAUACGAGUCAGUGUAAUACCUAUGGUGUUGAUUUUGAAAUUUGAUGCUCUCUAAUGUUCCUAUAUUUCCAUUGAUCAGAAAUCUUUGCUAUAAGUUUCUUCGAAUUAAGCGCUUCUCCAUUCUCAGUACACCAGGAGAAACACGUAAUAGUUUUCAUGAUUGUUCACAUGCCCUCUGGAAUCUGUUAUUCCUUUAAUGAUUGCCCAUGUUAUUAUUAUAUCUUAUAUUAAAGGGAACUGUCCUUUUAACAUGUUUAUUAUUUCUUGUAGCCGCUGGCCUGGUCCUCCUCGAGGAGGAGGAGCAGGAGGGGCGCACCCAGCAUCAGGAGAGGAGAGGAGAGGGAGAUUCAUGGCGGCCGGCGGCCAGAUCCACGCCAGGACCGGGCCUGCUCGUCAAGGAGACCCACGCCAUGGACUAGUAGCUCAAGCAGUCUUCUUUUCUUCCUGCCCAUCACCAUCUGCAGGUUGUCAUCCUCAAGGCCUCCACCAUCUGCAGGUCUUCUUCUUCCAUUCCAUUCUCUGCUCUGUUCUUCUCUCCUGCAGUGUCUACAGUGGAUGCAAAUACCUGAUUGUAUAUGGAUGGAUGGAUUGCAGGGUCUACAAUGCACCACCUUGAUUUGUUGAUUCGGUCUGGAGCAGCAGCAGCAAUAGCUCCUUCCUUCCAUGUAGAUGGAAGGCAUGACCUGCACAAGGAGCUCCAAGGAGACAAAGUGAUUGCUAAAAAUGACAGGGAUGAGAUCGACCGCCAAGAAUGAUGCAUAGCUUAACUGCUGUCGUAGUCGAUUUCCAACAGGGAAUACCUUUCUAGACUCCAACCUUCACAGUUCUCGUUGAUUCAUCUUGCUAGCAACUGAGUAGCUUUUUUGCAUACUUCUGUCAACAGCUCAAUGCCACCAAAUCUUUUUUGCCGUUCUUCUCUAUUAUACAACAUCUGUUAUACAUCAUACAGUGCCGAGCUCCUCAUACACCAACCAUUGUACAAACAUAUCAUGAGUGUAGGAAAAUUUUGAACCUGUAGUAUGUCACCUUGUUUUCCAGAUGGGCAAUAGACGUCGUCAUACUGUACUGUAAUAGUGUCUUACUGGGUUUCAAUUUGGUUUGCUUUGUACAUUGCUUGCACUGGAAAUGUUGAACUAUCGAGCCUCCUCUACUCUGUUCUGCUGUAUGAUUACAAUUGCAAUAGUAUUAUUGGAUCUGUUAAUCAGUGCCUACAUGUUAGAUCGGCUUGAUUUUGAGAUGCAGCGAGACUCUGAUGUUUCUGAAUUCUGAUGUGAAGGCAUGUCUACAUCAGUACAACUUUGCAUGCAUAUUUUAUUAACUAGAUAUAUACGUGUUGACUGUUUGUUCCUCUAGUUUCCUGAUGUGCAUGUUUAUUUGGAUGCACUGAACCUUUGCAUGUAGUAAUAGUUCUCUGAUAUACAUGCAACCUGAUGGAACUUUCAUGCUCUGCUAUUGACCUACCAUGAAUAUAUAUUACUACAGCAGCCUGUUACUGUUACUACAUGCCAUCUUUUUAUUUUCAGUAGUGAUUUUGAUGCAACCUGAUGGAACUUUCAUGCUCUGCUGGUGAGAAUAAGAUGUUAUAGUCUAGAUAUAUGAUGCAAAGUAUGUUGUAUUUACACACUUGUAUCAAACUGCAGCAACCGCACAGGUGAGUUGAGGCAGGGGAUAGAGAGGUUGAGCCGCUCGGGUGCUGAUCAUGUACAGCUGCGCUCUUUCCAGCGUCGACGCAACCAAACCAAUGAUGCAAGGCUUCUGCUGCUGCAUGUCUUCAUGAACUUAGUUGUUCCACAGGGAGAGAUAUAAAUCCUUCACUUGUUCACUUUGUAAUCUGCAGAUUACUUCUUCCAUUAAUCACCUAGUGCUCCUGUUAGUGAGAUUCAGCUAGUAUUUUUUUGCAAAGCAUGCAAUGGUUUGGAGUAGCUGAUCAUGGCCUAAUGGAACCUCUAGCUGAACAAUAAGAUAGGUUAGUUAGUGUAGUAGAGGAAGAAAGAUGAUAUAUUUAUUAUUUGCUUUUGCUGCUUCUAUAUACACAUGUAUGUAUGUUUAGUUAUUCGACAUGCUUCUGAAAUUGACUGGUUUUAGACCGAAACACUAUGCUUGUUCAAAGUUCAUUUCAGAUGGUUAUUUCUGGAUUUAGUACGAAUUUAUUGUUGACCUGGCCUAUGCUCUGUACCAAUUUAUUGCAUUAUUUUGUUAUUUAGUGUUAAAUAUGCUGUUAGAUUUACUUUUAUUUUGUUCCUAAACAUUUUGUUCUAUAACGUGCAGAUGCUGGCCUUUCAUGUUUCUUUGCGAAUAUCAGGACAAAGAAGUCGGAGGAAGCAUAGUUCUAGCUCAUUGGAGCUAAUUCUGAUAGUAAUUUGAUGUAGCAGAACUUGGCUCAUGUGAUUGUACACUUGUAGAGCUUGUUAUCUGAUUGUAUACUUGUAGAGCUUGUUAUCUGAUUGUAAUCUUGAUGCUGAUCACAUUUGUAUGUGUGUUAUAUGAUGUA